RNAcentral lists this ribosomal RNA (450 nucleotides) under uncultured bacterium. Its description in RNAcentral is "partial 16S ribosomal RNA". It matches the Rfam family "Bacterial small subunit ribosomal RNA", at positions 338 to 795 of the family's 1533-position model. The record is from RNAcentral.
CCUACGGGUGGCUGCAGUGGGGAAUUUUGGACAAUGGGGGCAACCCUGAUCCAGCCAUGCCGCGUGCGGGAAGAAGGCCUUCGGGUUGUAAACCGCUUUCGGCCGGAACGAAAUCGCCGGGGAGAACAUCCCCGGUGGAUGACGGUACCUGACGAAGAAGCACCGGCUAACUACGUGCCAGCAGCCGCGGUAAUACGUAGGGUGCGUGCGUUGAUCGGAAUGUCUGGGGGUAAAGCGCGCGCAGGGGUGUGAAAUCCCCGGGCUUAACCUGGGAACUGCGUUUGUGACUGGCGGGCUGGAGUGCGGAAGAGGGAGGUGGAAUUCCCGGUGUAGCGGUGGAAUGCGUAGAGAUCGGGAAGAACAUCGGUGGCGAAGGCGGCCAGCUGGGCCGUUGCUGACGCUGAGGCGCGACAGCGUGGGGAGCAAACAGGAUUAGAUACCCUAGUAGUC